ACUCACCGUAGUGUAUAACUUUCUCCGACUUUUUAGGACGUGUUUUAUGACACUUCUUUUUCUGUCUCAUUUUGUCCACCAAACUUUUAACCUUGUGCGUGAAUACACAAAGGCAACAGACGAGGCAGAGAGACGAGCAGCAGCUGCUGAGAGACGAGAGUGAGAGGUCACAGAGAGAACAUCUGCUCAGCUGAAUGAGAGCGAGCAGGAAGUGCGAGCGCUGUUGAAGGCGAGGAAGGCGAGCGAGGAGAAGGAGAGGAAGCUCCAGGAGGAGGCUCAGCAGGAGCUGCGGCGCUGCCAACAGAAGGUGGCGCUACAGCUGAGUGGAGCUCAGGCGGCACUGCAGCAGGCGGACGCCAGGAGUGCGGAACUACUUGACGAGGUGGCGCUGCUCCAGGAGACAGUGAGACGAGAGUGCCAGGAGAAGGAAGAGCUGACAGCGGCCUCGUCUGCAGCUCGCCGGGAGCUUCUUAGGCCACGCCCCUCCCAUGGGCCACGCCCCUCUCACCUUCUCCACCCUCCUCCUGGGGAGAAGCAUCUCUGCGGACGCACGCCGGGCCUUUUCCCGGCACUCAGACACACCUUGCCCACGCUGAAGGUGAGCAGAGUCCACGACACUUGGUCCGAGAGCAGCAGGUGAUGCAAGGUGCACACACACACACACACACACACACAAGCUUUUCAGCCCUUUGAGACACUUGUGAUUAAGGGUUAUAUAAAUAAACUUUGAUUGAUUGAUUGAUUGAUUGAUUUUCCAUGCCUAAAUUAAUGCACCUGAUUUUUUUUGUGUGUUUGAAUUUUGUGAACUGAUUUUUUCUUUCUUUUUUUACGUUUAAUUAUGCUCACAAUUUCAUAGAACGAAAAUGUGUGUGUAGAAAUUCACAUUCUUCAAUACAGUGUUGUAGAAAUAUUUGGGUCAAAAUUCAGUGUAAAAAUAGUCAGUGGGAAAAAAAAUUUGUGUGAAAAAAUUCAGUCAAAAAAAAUCAUUGCAGAAAUAUUCAGUGCAAAAACAUUUCAGUGUAAAAAAAAACAUUGUGUGAAAAAAUUCAGAGUACAAAAAAAAUCAUUGCAGAAAUAUUCAGUGCAAAAACAUUUCCAUGUAAAAAAAAAUUGUGUGAAAAAAUUCAGAGUAAAAAAAAAUAAUUGCAGAAAUAUUCAGUGCAAAAACAUUUCGGUGUAAAAAAAAACAUUGGGUGAUAAAAUUCAGAGUAAAAAAAAAUAAUUGCAGAAAUAUUCAGUGCAAAAACAUUUCCAUGUAAAAAAAAAAAUUGUGUGAAAAAAUUCAGUGUAAAAAAAAAUAAUUGCAGAAAUAUUCAGUGCAAAAACAUUUUCAUGUAAAAAAAAAUCAAUGUAAAAAAAAAAAGAGUAUAAACAUUCCGUGUAAAAGAAUUCAGUGCAAAAAAAAAAUCAGUGGAAAAAAACAGUGCAGAACUAUUCAGUACAAAAAAGAAAUUGCAGAACUUUUCAGUGCAAAAAUAUUUUCGUGUAAAAAAAUCAAUGUAAAAAAAAAAAAUUCAAAGUAUAAAAAUUCAGUGCAAACAAAUUCUGUGGGGAAAAAAACAGUGCAGAACUAUUCAGUGCAAAAAAGAAAUGGCAGAAAUAUUCAGCGCAAAAACAUUUUCGUGUAAAAAAAUCUAUGUAAAAAAAAAAAUUCCAAGUAUAAAAAUUCAGUGCAAACAAAUUAUGUGGGAAAAAAACAGUGCAGAACUAUUCAGUACAAACAAAAUUCAGUGUAAAAAAAUUCAGUGCAAAAA
Long non-coding RNA from Entelurus aequoreus (snake pipefish), 1754 nucleotides. RefSeq lists it as uncharacterized. The record is from RefSeq and is a predicted model, not a curated record. Lineage: Eukaryota; Metazoa; Chordata; Actinopteri; Syngnathiformes; Syngnathidae. The transcript is spliced from 4 exons.